GCGGCGCCGGAAACUGGGCGCACACACCCUCGGAUUGACGUGCGCACGCGCACCGGUUACCUUCAGGAGCGCCGAAGAAGGAAAGAAGAACACAGAGCCCGAGGCAAAGCUUAAGUGCUUACGCUUUUGUCGGGAGGUACAGACCCAGCUCUGCGAGAGCCAGGGGAAAAGGAAGAGAGGCAGGGAAGGAAUGGCAGCAAGUACAAGGUGAUGAAUGACUGCACUGGCCAUUGCUUCAUGAAGAGCCACGAAAAAACAGAGCCGGUUUCUCAGCAGGUGGCUGGCUGCUCAGUCACAAAGGACCUCUUUGGACAGGCUUUAUGGAAAUACUGUGCCUAGGACAGUCGCUCAAAGGCAGGAGGGAGAGAAAAUGCAUCUGCAAGCUCACUUUGUCUUCUUUCUUCUGCUGGUCAAAAUUUGCUGGCUGGGGCAGUUAACGCCCUCACACAUCCGAGUUGUGUCACCUGGCCCCUUUGGUAGCCACUGGGGAAGCCAGAUCUAGGCAUGUGGCCUGAUGGCUCCUGCGGUGGAACCACAUGCUCACACUCAGUCAGUCACCACUGGGAUGCCCUGGGCAGGGCAGGCUGAGUGGCUGGGAGAUAGCUGAGCCUAAGAUAUCUAAGCAAGCACCUGUGAUGUAUGCACUGCAGUGUCCAAAUGUGAAAAAGCAAGAAAGGGAGAUAGAAGCAUAUUUUUUUCUGGAGAGAAGGAGGAAACCACCAGGAGAAUACAAACAGAAAAAAGACUGCCAGCUCCGUGACAGCAAGAACCUUGUAUGACUUUUUCAUGAUGGAUGUUCAUCUGUGCCAUCUGUAAAUAUUGAAUAAAUAUUUGUGGAAUACAUGAAUCUAAAAGUGAAUGGAAUGAUAAAGAGGGAAAGGGUCAUGACAUCUACUACAGCAUUUGGCACAGACCCAGCUGUCUGCAGUACUAUCAAGAGAUGACAUGGACUUCAAGGAUCAAACAGGGGAGAAAAAGGCUUAAAAGAAAAACAAGUCUCCAUCAAAGGUAAUAACCACAAUGAGAACUAUACAUAGCUAUGUGCUUAUAGGUCUUAGUUCACAUUCCCCUCAUUAAAAUUAUAGCUCAAGAAAUAAAGGGCUGUUUAAUGACUUGGGUAUAUAAAUAUACUUCAUUUGUAUAUUUUUUACUUGCUAAAAUCUAUCCAAAUUGGUAUUACCUCAAACCAUAAUCUUCUACUGUAUUUUAUAAUUUUACUUUAUUGCCAUGUAUUUUUCCCACUGAUGUUCACAAAUUCACAGGAAACAUCAGCCAUGUACUAAAUAAAAUAUGAAUUGAAUCGACAAAUAGAACUAUAAA
Molecule: long non-coding RNA, 1320 nt
Filed under: Homo sapiens (human)
Lineage: Eukaryota; Metazoa; Chordata; Mammalia; Primates; Hominidae
Description: ERICH2 divergent transcript
Source: RNAcentral